RNAcentral lists this ribosomal RNA (253 nucleotides) under uncultured bacterium. RNAcentral's name for it is "partial 16S ribosomal RNA". It matches the Rfam family "Bacterial small subunit ribosomal RNA", at positions 524 to 776 of the family's 1533-position model. The record is from RNAcentral.
UACGAAGGGAGCUAGCGUUGUUCGGAAUCACUGGGCGUAAAGCGCACGUAGGCGGAUGUGUCAGUCAGGGGUGAAAUCCCGGAGCUCAACUUCGGAACUGCCCUUGAUACAGCACAUCUUGAGUCCGGAAGAGGUGGGUGGAAUUCCUAGUGUAGAGGUGAAAUUCGUAGAUAUUCGCAAGAACACCAGUGGCGAAGGCGGCUCACUGGCCCGGUACUGACGCUGAGGUGCGAAAGCGUGGGGAGCAAACAGG